Manis javanica (Malayan pangolin) is the source of this 1320-nucleotide non-coding RNA. The record is from RefSeq and is a predicted model, not a curated record. Lineage: Eukaryota; Metazoa; Chordata; Mammalia; Pholidota; Manidae.
UGGGUCUAAUGGGGGCCUCUACAGAGGAUAACGACCAGCUAAGGUGGAACCGGGGCCCCUUCAUACCAGAGAGCCUGUUCGGUUACAAAAUACAGAGCUGGUGGGGAAGACACGUGAAGGGACAGAGGAAUAGGGUGAAUUGGGUUCUCAGGAUGAACAGUGGAAAGGCAGAAGGAGGCAACUGCUGCAGGUAGAGGAGAGCACUUUAUAAACGCUAGCUCAUUAAUCUUCACAACACCUCCGUGACACCGGCUUGAUGAAAGAAACCAACAUCUUCCCUGACUGCAAGAAAGAUGGAACCCAGCAUUUCUCUUCUGCGAGGCAGGCUGUCCUGGCCCCACUGUGGUCCCAGGGGAUACUGCUAUGCCUCUGGUUCUACAAAAGCAAGAACAGAGAAGUGUAUGCUUUCCUCUAGGAGUAAUAUCCCUGAGGUGGAGGCAGCUGUGGCCUUCACCCUUAGGCCAGCACCACACUGACCAGAAAAUGCUACAUGGGCAGAUGAGACUCCAUGAGAAGUGAAAACUGAAAAUAUCAGAGGGAUAAGGAACAGUUGAAAAUUCAGGUUUGAUCAACAGUUUGAAGAAAGGGCUUUGAAAAAUCACUGGAGUUGGGACAGUAAAGAAAGCAAGCCGAAAGGAUGAGAGAAGCUGAAUUACCACCCAUAUUAGACAUGCCCUGAGGCCGGUCUUGUCACAUUGUCUCAGUUGUGACUUGUUCCAUUUGGGGACCAGGUGGAUUUCUGUACUGCUGUCUAGAAAUGCUGUGAUGUUUAUCAAACCAUGUCACUUUACCAUCAUCUGUACUAGAGGAUUGCACUUCAGUGCAUAUUGCCGCAAGACUCUUGCUAAAGGACUCUUAAAUGUCAGCCUGAACACAAAUUGAGUACCCCAGAAAUCCAUUCCCUGCUGUAUUUCUUAAUCUACAAAGAAAAGAAACUUCGUACACUGUCAUAGAUUUUGAGUUAUGGAUUAAAACCUGAUAAACUUCAGUUUCAGAUUAUUCAGUAUGCCAAUGCUAUGGGUAUAUAACUAAACAAGGUUAUAUAACAUUCUAAAGAAGCUAUGAGAAUGCAGCUAGAGGUUAAUAAGCACAGCAAGCUUGCUCAGUGUCAGUAAAUAUCAUCUUCCUCAGGUUUCAUACUUUAUCUUAAACUUCCACAUAUUUCAACUUUUCUAAAACUGUUCUCUUGGAGCUCCUGUUAAAAGGUACUUUCAGGAUCUAUAAACAUAGUCUUACUUUACAGUCAACUCUAAAAUAAUCUGGAAAAAUCCUGUGAAUUCUCCAGCAAGUCCCCAGACAACCAAACCAGUUCUACUUAAG